AUGAGGAGUCUCUUGAGUCUGUAUCAAGGGAUGCACAUGCAAUGGUGCGCGUUAGAACCGUGGAUAAGCAUGAAAGACGUACACUUUUCUAUGGAUGGCAUGCUCUGUAGUAACCAUAGUAAGAAAUGGCGCGCUCUCGUACCCCGAUCCAAUUGCCUGACCAAAUUAUGGUUGAUGUGUUCAGGAUGCUGCUUGCACAGGCAAUUGAGUAGUGAAGAAACAAGAACCAUGGCCUUUCACAUUGGUACAAGAUCCUCCAGGGACAGGGAAAACCCAUACUGUUUGGGGAAUGGUAAAACGUUAUUCAUCAGUAUUAACAUUGCCAUGCUGCUCUGCUCAAGAAACUUGCUCCUGGAAGUUAUGAGCAAGCUGGUGGUAGUGCUAGCAGUGGCUCAGAAGCUGUUGCUGCGGGCUCGAUGGAUGAAGAUGCAUCAGAACCUGUACGUUCCACACUCUUCCCAAGCUUUGCCCCAAACCGUGGAUGCUUGUUUGUGCCCCAUCAAAUGCUGCAACUGA
RNAcentral lists this ribosomal RNA (516 nucleotides) under Triticum aestivum (bread wheat). Its description in RNAcentral is "partial small subunit ribosomal RNA". Lineage: Eukaryota; Viridiplantae; Streptophyta; Magnoliopsida; Poales; Poaceae. The record is from RNAcentral.